This 1208-nucleotide ribosomal RNA is filed under the name Opisthorchis viverrini. RNAcentral's name for it is "eukaryotic LSU rRNA". It matches the Rfam family "Eukaryotic large subunit ribosomal RNA", at positions 2157 to 3401 of the family's 3401-position model. The record is from RNAcentral. Lineage: Eukaryota; Metazoa; Platyhelminthes; Trematoda; Opisthorchiida; Opisthorchiidae.
GCCAUUACGGCCGGGUGAACGUAUUUGACUAUGGGGGAUUUCUGCCCAGUGCUCGGAAAGGAAUGUGAGGAAAUUUGUGUAGCGAGGGGGAAGGGGGGGGGUAGCUAUGAUUCUCUUAUUGCAGAAAAUGCCUCGUUAUCUAAUUAGAGAUGAGCAUGAAUGGAUUAACGAGAUUCCUAGUGGCCCUAUCUAUUAUCUAGCGAAACCAUCUCCAAGGGAACGGGCUUGGCAGAAUUAGCGGGGAAAGAAGACCCUGCUGAGCUUGACUCUAGUCCGACUUUGUGAGGAGACAUGACGGGUGUAGAGUAAGUGGGAGAUGGGCUUCGGCCUGUCGCCAGUGAAAUACCACUACCGUCAUCGUUUCUUUGCUUAUUCAGUAAAACGGGAACAAUAUUUUGGUCCUAAGCACAUGCCGGCAUGCGUGGUUUCGCUGCCGGUGUCGGUAUCUUGGUCAUGCCAAAUGAGUCGUGACUUCGGUUGCGGCGUUUGAGUCUGGAUGUGAUGUGCGACCCGUUCUGAACACAAUGUCAGGCGGGGAGUUUGACUGGGGCGGUACAUCUGUCAAAUGGUAACGCAGGUGUCCCAAGGUGAGCUCAGCCAGGACGGAAACCUGGCGUGGAGUAAAAGGACAAAAGCUUACUUGAUUUUGAUUUUCAGUACGAAUACAGACCGUGAAAGCGCGACCUAUCGAUCCUUUUGAUUUUGAUAUUCGGAGUUUGAAGCAAGAGGUGUCAGAAAAGUUACCACAGGUAUAACUGGCUUGUGGCGGCCAAGCGUUCAUAGCGACGUCGCUUUUUGAUCCUUCUAUGUCGGCUCUCCCUAUCGUUGUGACGCAAAAUUCUUCUUGCGUUGGAUUGUUCACCCACUAAUAGGGAACGUGAGCUGGGUUUAGACCGUCGAGAGACGGGUUAGUGUUACUCUACUAUUGAGUACAAUGACUCAAUGCAGUACAAACUGGCCGUUGCUAUGGUGAUCCUGUUUAGUACGACAGGAACCGCACGUUCAGACAUUUGGUAUAUGUGCCUGGCCGAAAGGCCAAUGGUGCGAAGCUACCAUCUGAGGCAUUACGACUGAGCGCCUCCAAGUCUGACUCCCGUCCAGAUAUGCCACGGUACAUUCUGUACCUGUUACGUGACAAGGCUUGAUUACGUUUUCCCUAUUGGCGCUUGGACCAGACUAUGUGUCUGGCCUGGUCCCAUUACGGUCUC